RNAcentral lists this ribosomal RNA (433 nucleotides) under uncultured bacterium. Its description in RNAcentral is "partial 16S ribosomal RNA". It matches the Rfam family "Bacterial small subunit ribosomal RNA", at positions 29 to 507 of the family's 1533-position model. The record is from RNAcentral.
AACGAACGCUGGCGGCAUGCCUAACACAUGCAAGUCGAACGAGACCUUCGGGUCUAGUGGCGCACGGGUGCGUAACGCGUGGGAACCUGCACUUAGGUUCGGAAUAACUCCCCGAAAGGGGUGCUAAUACCGGAUAAUGUCUUCGGACCAAAGAUUUAUCGCCUUUGGAUGGGCCCGCGUUGGAUUAGCUAGUUGGUAGGGUAAAAGCCUACCAAGGCGACGAUCCAUAGCUGGUCUGAGAGGAUGAUCAGCCACACUGGGACUGAGACACGGCCCAGUCUCCGACAGGAAGCAGCAGUGGGUAAUAUUGGACAGUGGGCGAAAGCCUGAUCCAGCAAUGCCGCGUGAGUGAUGAAGGCCUUAGGGUUGUAAAGCUCUUUUACCCGGGAUGAUAAUGACAGUACCGGGAGAAUAAGCUCCGGCUAACUCCGUG